This 402-nucleotide ribosomal RNA is filed under the name uncultured bacterium. RNAcentral describes it as "bacterial SSU rRNA". It matches the Rfam family "Bacterial small subunit ribosomal RNA", at positions 355 to 774 of the family's 1533-position model. The record is from RNAcentral.
UGGGGAAUAUUGGACAAUGGGGGAAACCCUGAUCCAGCAAUGCCGCGUGAGUGAAGAAGGCCUUAGGGUUGUAAAGCUCUUUCGCCCGCGAAGAUAAUGACGGUAGCGGGAGAAGAAGCCCCGGCUAACUCCGUGCCAGCGGCCGCGGUAAUACGGAGGGGGCUAGCGUUGUUCGGAAUUACUGGGCGUAAAGCGUACGUAGGCGGAUGCGCAAGUUGGGGGUGAAAUCCCGGGGCUUAACCUCGGAAUUGCCCUCAAAACUGCACGGCUUGAGACCGAGAGAGGUAAGGGGAAUUCCUAGUGUAGAGGUGAAAUUCGUAGAUAUUAGGAAGAACACCAGUGGCGAAGGCGCCUGACUGGCUCGGUACUGACGCUGAGGUACGAAAGCGUGGGGAGCAAACA